This is a non-coding RNA of Byssothecium circinans, 94 nucleotides long. Lineage: Eukaryota; Fungi; Ascomycota; Dothideomycetes; Pleosporales; Massarinaceae. The record is from the annotation of a GenBank genome assembly.
UCUUCGAUGGUCUAGUGGUCAUGAUUUCCGCUUGUCAUGAUAGAUAUCUAUCUAACAAGCGCGGGAGACCGGGGUUCGAUUCCCCGUCGGAGAG